GAUGAACGCUGGCGGCGUGCCUAAUACAUGCAAGUCGAGCGAACAGAUGAGGAGCUUGCUCCUCUGACGUUAGCGGCGGACGGGUGAGUAACACGUGGAUAACCUACCUAUAAGACUGGGAUAACUUCGGGAAACCGGAGCUAAUACCGGAUAAUAUAUUGAACCGCAUGGUUCAAUAGUGAAAGACGGUUUUGCUGUCACUUAUAGAUGGAUCCGCGCCGCAUUAGCUAGUUGGUAAGGUAACGGCUUACCAAGGCAACGAUGCGUAGCCGACCUGAGAGGGUGAUCGGCCACACUGGAACUGAGACACGGACCAGACUCCUACGGGAGGCAGCAGUAGGGAAUCUUCCGCAAUGGGCGAAAGCCUGACGGAGCAACGCCGCGUGAGUGAUGAAGGUGUUCGGAUCGUAAAACUCUGUUAUUAGGGAAGAACAAAUGUGUAAGUAACUAUGCACGUCUUGACGGUACCUAAUCAGAAAGCCACGGCUAACUACGUG
RNAcentral lists this ribosomal RNA (497 nucleotides) under uncultured bacterium. Its description in RNAcentral is "partial 16S ribosomal RNA". It matches the Rfam family "Bacterial small subunit ribosomal RNA", at positions 28 to 507 of the family's 1533-position model. The record is from RNAcentral.